UACAGAGGUCCCAAGCGUUGUUCGGAUUCAUUGGGCGUAAAGGGUGUGUAGGUGGCGCCGUAAGUCGGGUGUGAAAUUUCGGAGCUUAACUCCGAACCUGCAUUCGAUACUGCGGUGCUUGAGGACUGGAGAGGAGACUGGAAUUCAUGGUGUAGCAGUGAAAUGCGUAGAUAUCAAGUGGAACACCAGUGGCGAAGGCGAAUCCCUGGAAAAUACCUGACACUGAGGCACGAAAGCUAGGGGAGCAAACAGG
This 253-nucleotide ribosomal RNA is filed under the name uncultured bacterium. Its description in RNAcentral is "partial 16S ribosomal RNA". It matches the Rfam family "Bacterial small subunit ribosomal RNA", at positions 524 to 776 of the family's 1533-position model. The record is from RNAcentral.